UUCAUUCAACCACUAUCCAUGACCCGAAAACCUCAUCUUCCUUCCCCUGGACACUUCUGACCGACGACACCUCCUUCUCCCUUGGUUGAUCCAAAUUACUGACAGAGUGAGGACAUAUAUUCUUCAAAUGAUCGUACCUUCCAUAACCAAAACAAAUCAAAGGUAAGGCCUCAUAUUCGACACGUAUAAAUCUAUUUACCAUAAUAUUUGGGAUUAGAGGUUUAUUAAGGUUAAUGUAAACCACCAUUCGAGCAAAUCUUCCUAUCGAUCUACUGUCUGUGUUAUAGUCUAGUUUUGCCACUUGACCGAUCAAACCUCUAAUCUCUUUUAAAAUUUUCCUCUUAUACAUGAAAUCUGAAAGGCUAGCUAAUCUAACCCAUGUCAUGAAAACAUUAGGAAACGGUUGUGAGAGAUUAAAGUUCGAAGUCCAUGGUUGUACGAUAAAAUACUAUUCGAAUACGACCCAUGUCCUUUGGGUAAACACCUUUUCAAAAUCCUUAUUGCUUUGAAAUUUCACCAGGAAAUAUCCAUGUUCAACAUCCAUUAGUUUGAAAGGCAUGGCCGAGCGCCAUAGGUUGUAGAUCUUAUUUUGAAAGGUAUUGUUGCUGAUAUUUCUUCCCAAUAGUUUAACCACCACUGUGGUAUCC
RNAcentral lists this long non-coding RNA (647 nucleotides) under Gossypium barbadense (sea-island cotton). Its description in RNAcentral is "long non-coding RNA (GBAR_LNC000220)". Lineage: Eukaryota; Viridiplantae; Streptophyta; Magnoliopsida; Malvales; Malvaceae. The record is from RNAcentral.